CGUACACUCCUGCGGGAGGCAGCAGUGGGGAAUUUUGGACAAUGGGCGAAAGCCUGAUCCAGCCAUGCCGCGUGCAGGAUGAAGGCCUUCGGGUUGUAAACUGCUUUUGUACGGAACGAAACGGCCUUUUCUAAUAAAGAGGGCUAAUGACGGUACCGUAAGAAUAAGCACCGGCUAACUACGUGCCAGCAGCCGCGGUAAUACGUAGGGUGCAAGCGUUAAUCGGAAUUACUGGGCGUAAAGCGUGCGCAGGCGGUUAUGUAAGACAGUUGUGAAAUCCCCGGGCUCAACCUGGGAACUGCAUCUGUGACUGCAUAGCUAGAGUACGGUAGAGGGGGAUGGAAUUCCGCGUGUAGCAGUGAAAUGCGUAGAUAUGCGGAGGAACACCGAUGGCGAAGGCAAUCCCCUGGACCUGUACUGACGCUCAUGCACGAAAGCGUGGGGAGCAAACAGGAUUAGAAACCCCUGUAGUCCCAUGAU
This 480-nucleotide ribosomal RNA is filed under the name uncultured organism. RNAcentral's name for it is "partial 16S ribosomal RNA". It matches the Rfam family "Bacterial small subunit ribosomal RNA", at positions 330 to 801 of the family's 1533-position model. The record is from RNAcentral.